AUUGAACGCUGGCGGAAUGCUUUACACAUGCAAGUCGAACGGCAGCACGGGGGCAACCCUGGUGGCGAGUGGCGAACGGGUGAGUAAUACAUCGGAACGUGCCCAGUCGUGGGGGAUAACGUAGCGAAAGCUACGCUAAUACCGCAUGAGAUCUGUGGAUGAAAGCGGGGGACCUUCGGGCCUCGCGCGAUUGGAGCGGCCGAUGGCAGAUUAGGUAGUUGGUGGGGUAAAGGCCCACCAAGCCGACGAUCUGUAGCUGGUCUGAGAGGACGACCAGCCACACUGGGACUGAGACACGGCCCAGACUCCUACGGGAGGCAGCAGUGGGGAAUUUUGGACAAUGGGCGCAAGCCUGAUCCAGCCAUUCCGCGUGCAGGAUGAAGGCCUUCGGGUUGUAAACUGCUUUUGUACGGAACGAAAAGGCCUUGGUUAAUACCUGGGGCUCAUGACGGUACCGUAAGAAUAAGCACCGGCUAACUACGUGCCAGCCGCCGCAGUAA
This 500-nucleotide ribosomal RNA is filed under the name uncultured bacterium. RNAcentral's name for it is "partial 16S ribosomal RNA". It matches the Rfam family "Bacterial small subunit ribosomal RNA", at positions 30 to 523 of the family's 1533-position model. The record is from RNAcentral.